This 482-nucleotide ribosomal RNA is filed under the name uncultured bacterium. RNAcentral describes it as "partial 16S ribosomal RNA". It matches the Rfam family "Bacterial small subunit ribosomal RNA", at positions 30 to 507 of the family's 1533-position model. The record is from RNAcentral.
AUUGAACGCUGGCGGCAUGCUUUACACAUGCAAGUCGAACGGUAACAGCCCGCAAGGUGCUGACGAGUGGCGAACGGGUGAGUAAUGCAUCGUAACGUGCCCAGUCGUUGGGGGUAACUACUCGUAAGAGUAUCUAAUACCUCAUACGAUCUAUGGAUGAAAGCGGGGGUCCGUAAGCCCUCGCGCGAUUGGAGCGGCCGAUGUCAGAUUAGGUAGUUGGUGGGGUAAAGGCUCACCAAGCCAACGAUCUGUAGCUGGUCUGAGAGGACGACCAGCCACACUGGGAAUGAGACACGGCACAGACUCCUACGGGAGGCAGCAGUGGGGAAUUUUGGACAAGGGGCGAAAGCCUGAUCCAGCAAUGCCGCGUGAAGGAAGAAGGCCUUCGGGUUGUAAACUGCUGUUGUACGGAACGAAACGGCUCUGGUUAAUACCCGGGGCUAAUGACGGUACCGAAAGAAUAAGCACCGGCUAACUACGUG